RNAcentral lists this ribosomal RNA (433 nucleotides) under uncultured bacterium. Its description in RNAcentral is "partial 16S ribosomal RNA". It matches the Rfam family "Bacterial small subunit ribosomal RNA", at positions 29 to 507 of the family's 1533-position model. The record is from RNAcentral.
AACGAACGCUGGCGGCAGGCCUAACACAUGCAAGUCGAGCGGACCUUUCGGGGUCAGCGGCGGACGGGUGAGUAACGCGUGGGAAUAUGCCCUUCUCUACGGAAUAGUCCUGGGAAACUGGGGGUAAUACCGUAUACGCCCUUUGGGGGAAAGAUUUAUCGGGGAAGGAUUAGCCCGCGUUGGAUUAGGUAGUUGGUGGGGUAAUGGCCUACCAAGCCGACGAUCCAUAGCUGGUUUGAGAGGAUAAUCAGCCACACUGGGACUGAGACACGGCCCAGACUCCUACGGGAGGCAGCAGUGGGGAAUCUUAGACAAUGGGGGCAACCCUGAUCUAGCCAUGCCGCGUGAGUGAUGAAGGCCUUAGGGUUGUAAAGCUCUUUCAGCUGGGAAGAUAAUGACGGUACCAGCAGAAGAAGCCCCGGCUAACUCCGUG